CCGCCCGUCACACCAUGGGAGUUGAUUGCACCAGAAGCAGGUAGCCUGACCGCAAGGAGGGCGCCUACCGCGGUGUGGUCAAUGACUGGGGUG
Molecule: ribosomal RNA, 93 nt
Filed under: uncultured bacterium
Lineage: Bacteria
Description: partial 16S ribosomal RNA
Rfam family: Bacterial small subunit ribosomal RNA
Source: RNAcentral